UUAUAAUUUUUUUUUCAUAAUGAAGCUUGCAUACCACGUGGAGGUGAGCCUUUGGCUGAUCCAUAUAUUUAAUUAUAUUUUUCAUUUUAUUUCUUCUUUUUUUUGCUAUAAUGGAUGGUACUAGAUCUUCUAACAAGUAGUAUUAGAGCUAGGUAGUAUCAGGAUGCAGGUUGUGGCAAUGGUGAUUGUUGGUGCAGAAUUUCG
RNAcentral lists this long non-coding RNA (204 nucleotides) under Elaeis guineensis (African oil palm). RNAcentral's name for it is "long non-coding RNA (EGUI_LNC038237)". Lineage: Eukaryota; Viridiplantae; Streptophyta; Magnoliopsida; Arecales; Arecaceae. The record is from RNAcentral.